UACGAAGGGUGCAAACGUUGCUCGGAAUCAUUGGGCGUAAAGCGCACGUAGGCGCCUUCGCAAGUCGGAUGUGAAAUCCCAUGGCUCAACCAUGGACGUGCAUUCGAAACUGCGAAGCUUGAGUAUGGAAGAGGGUCGCGGAAUUCCCGGUGUAGAGGUGAAAUUCGUAGAUAUCGGGAGGAACACCAGUGGCGAAGGCGGCGACCUGGGCCAAUACUGACGCUGAGGUGCGAAAGCGUGGGGAGCAAACAGG
RNAcentral lists this ribosomal RNA (253 nucleotides) under uncultured bacterium. RNAcentral's name for it is "partial 16S ribosomal RNA". It matches the Rfam family "Bacterial small subunit ribosomal RNA", at positions 524 to 776 of the family's 1533-position model. The record is from RNAcentral.